RNAcentral lists this non-coding RNA (25 nucleotides) under Cricetulus griseus (Chinese hamster). The record is from RNAcentral. Lineage: Eukaryota; Metazoa; Chordata; Mammalia; Rodentia; Cricetidae.
AUGUCGCAAGACUGGAUGGAUGAUU